This is a non-coding RNA of Penaeus vannamei (Pacific white shrimp), 315 nucleotides long. Lineage: Eukaryota; Metazoa; Arthropoda; Malacostraca; Decapoda; Penaeidae. The record is from RefSeq and is a predicted model, not a curated record.
UAACGCCAUCGGGGACGGGGAAAUAAUCGGGUUUUUAUGAAGCGGUCUGGCACCGUCCCUGCACAUGCGCACUACCUUUGUUUAGUUUCCAAUCUGAUCAGCUGUAGCAAUGCACAAGCUCAAAUCCUCCCAGAAAGAAAAGGUCAAGCAGUUUAUUUCCUUCACCCAAACGGGCGAGAAAACCGCAAUAUACUGUCUUGCUCAAAAUGACUGGAAACUCGAACUCGCCUCAGACAACUUCUUCCAAAAUCCCGAUUUAUACUACAGAGAACAGAGGCCGUCAGUCGACAAGAAAAAGCUAGAACACCUAUAUAA